CUACGGGAGGCAGCAGUAAGGAAUAUUGGGCAAUGGACGCAAGUCUGACCCAGCCAUGCCGCGUGCAGGAAGAAGGCGCUAUGCGUUGUAAACUGCUUUUGUACGGGAAUAAACCCCUCUACGUGUAGAGGGCUGAAGGUACCGUAAGAAUAAGCACCGGCUAACUCCGUGCCAGCAGCCGCGGUAAUACGGAGGGUGCAAGCGUUAUCCGGAUUUAUUGGGUUUAAAGGGUGCGUAGGCGGAUUAGUAAGUCAGUGGUGAAAGCCUGCAGCUUAACUGCAGAACUGCCAUUGAAACUGCUUUUCUUGAGUGCAUUUGAAGUGAGCGGAAUGUGUCAUGUAGCGGUGAAAUGCUUAGAUAUGACACAGAACACCGAUUGCGAAGGCAGCUCACUAAACUGUAACUGACGCUGAGGCACGAAAGCGUGGGGAUCAAACGGGAUUAGAUACCCCGGUAGUCC
Molecule: ribosomal RNA, 460 nt
Filed under: uncultured bacterium
Lineage: Bacteria
Description: bacterial SSU rRNA
Rfam family: Bacterial small subunit ribosomal RNA
Source: RNAcentral